GGCUGAGGCGGGAGAGUUGCUUGAAUCCAGGAGGCAGAGGUUGCAGUGAGCCAAGUUCAUGCCACUGCACUCCAGCCUGGGCAGCAAAGCAAGACUCCAUCUCAAAAAUAAAUAAAUAAAUAACCUUAGAAUCAAAUGUGUCACACUAAGAAUCAAAUGUAACACAGAGACAUUAUUUGAUUCUAGUUGAAGAUACCAGCUGUAAAAACACAUUUUGGACUCAAGAAAUUUCAAUGCAAAUUAUGCAUUAGAAGAUAGCUUUACCUACUGUAGCAAAACUAGAAAACAAAUAAGAAAAUGAAGAAAAUAACAAUUUUCCUGUAUUCUUCCACCCAGAGCUAUCUGCAGGUGCUCCUGUGUUCAGUCCUUCCAAACCAUUUUCUGAAGAAUAUCUACCUGUGCACAAAACACACUCGCAGUGCUCAGCCCCACUGACCUACCACAUGAGAUAUAUAUCCUCUGUAAACUGUUUGCAUAAUUUAUAUUUUUGACAUCCUUAUGUUACUAAGUAUUUUUCUGCAGAAUCAUUUUAAUACUUAAAUUCAUUUACUUAGCUCAAUAGUAUGGAAGGAUCACAUAUUGUGUGUCUUGUAUAUAUAAAUAAACAUUCUUGAGCUAAGGUUUUAAACUCAAUCUUAAUUUUUACUUCAGGACAAAUUCCUAGAAGUGAAAUUGCUGGAUCUAAAAGAAUGUAUAAUGCUGUUGAAAGUUAUGGUAGUAGGGGUAGGGGCAAGGUGGUGACCAGAAGAAGAUACUGAGGUGGGGGAGCAUCAGGGUUGACACUGGUAAGUAGGUGUAGUUUUUAUACAGGAAGGUUGAGUUCAUGAAAAUUCAUUAAACUGUAUAGUUAGAUUGUACUUUUAUGUAAAACAUUUAUAAAAGGUUUUUUAAAAGUAAUCAUUUUUGGAGGAGCAUAACAAGGAGUCUCAAAUGCAUGGUUAAAAAAAUCUAAAGUCUUCCACUAUGAUGUUGCAAUAAGUAUACAAACCAUGUUUUAAAUAAUAUAUUUGGCUAAAACUUUUUACAGAAUAAGGUAAUGUAAUAUAGAGGAUAAAAGAGAACAUGUUCUUUAAAAUGUUUUUCAUAGGUACUGACUUGAAACCUUUUGAAGCCAUGAUUUAAUUCAGUACUUGCAGGAAUAACUGAAGAAAGAAAAAAGAAUUACAAUAAGUCUAAAGUGGCAUUUGGUGGAAAUGUUGAAGCCUUAUUUUAAUUUCACCUAUAGCAUUUUCCUAAAUUUGCUAUUAUAAAUGUUUACAUCUUAAAUUCACUAUAAGCACUUUACUUUGAUUUAUAUCAUCUCAUCGUGAAUAAAUAGUAGAUUAAUGAAUUCUGUAGUAUUUCAGCUAUAUAUAUACAAAACAAAACACAUCGGGAAGAAAAUAACCUUCCAGUUAAAAAACUAUUUGAGCCCGGGCAUGGUGGUUCAUGCCUGUAAUCCCAGCACUUUGGGAGGCCAAGGCGGGCAGAUCAUUUGGUGCUCAGGAGUUCGAGACCAGCCUGGCCAAUAUGGUGAAACCCCGUCUCUACUAAAAAUACAAAAAUUAGCUGGGCUUGGUGGCCAGUGCCUGUAAUCCCAGCUACUUGGGAGGCUGAGGCAGGAGAAUCACUCGAACCCAGGAGGUGG
This 1627-nucleotide long non-coding RNA is filed under the name Homo sapiens (human). RNAcentral describes it as "HSALNT0318543". The record is from RNAcentral. Lineage: Eukaryota; Metazoa; Chordata; Mammalia; Primates; Hominidae.